AGUGAACGCUGGCGGUAGGCCUAACACGUGCAAGUCGAACGGCAGCACAGUAAGAGCUUGCUCUUACGGGUGGCGAGUGGCGGACGGGUGAGGAAUACAUCGGAAUCUACUUUUUCGUGGGGGAUAACGUAGGGAAACUUACGCUAAUACCGCAUACGACCUACGGGUGAAAGCAGGGGAUCUUCGGACCUUGCGCGAUUGAAUGAGCCGAUGUCGGAUUAGCUAGUUGGCGGGGUAAAGGCCCACCAAGGCGACGAUCCGUAGCUGGUCUGAGAGGAUGAUCAGCCACACUGGAACUGAGACACGGUCCAGACUCCUACGGGAGGCAGCAGUGGGGAAUAUUGGACAAUGGGCGCAAGCCUGAUCCAGCCAUACCGCGUGGGUGAAGAAGGCCUUCGGGUUGUAAAGCCCUUUUGUUGGGAAAGAAAGGCAGCAGGUUAAUACCCCGCUGUUCUGACGGUACCCAAAGAAUAAGCACCGGCUAACUUCGUG
Molecule: ribosomal RNA, 492 nt
Filed under: uncultured bacterium
Lineage: Bacteria
Description: partial 16S ribosomal RNA
Rfam family: Bacterial small subunit ribosomal RNA
Source: RNAcentral